This 447-nucleotide ribosomal RNA is filed under the name uncultured bacterium. RNAcentral describes it as "partial 16S ribosomal RNA". It matches the Rfam family "Bacterial small subunit ribosomal RNA", at positions 29 to 523 of the family's 1533-position model. The record is from RNAcentral.
AACGAACGCUGGCGGCAGGCUUAGCACAUGCAAGUCUAACGCCCCGCAAGGGGAGUGGCAGACGGGUGAGUAACGCGCGGGAAUCUACCGUACCCUACGGAACAACAGUUGGAAACGACUGCUAAUACCGUAUACGCCCUACGGGGGAAAGAUUUAUCGGGGUAUGAUGAGGCCGCGUGGGAUUAGCUAGUUGGUUGGGUAAAGUCCUACCACGGAGACGGUCCAUAGCCGGGCUGAGAGGAUGAUCAGCGACAUUGGGGCUGAGACACGGCCCAAACUCCUACAGGAGGCGGCAGUGGGGAAUAUUGGAAAAUGGGCGCAAGCAUGAACCAGCCAUGCUGCGUGAGUGAUGAAGGUCUUAGGAUUGUAAAGCUCUUUCACCGAUGAAGAUAAUGACGGUAGUCGAAGAAGAAGCCCCGGCUAACUUCGUGCCAGCCGCCGCCGUAA